CCUACGGGAGGCAGCAGUGAGGAAUAUUGGGCAAUGGGCGAAAGCCUGACCCAGCAACGCCGCGUGGAGGAAGAAGGCCUUCGGGUCGUAAACUCCUUUUACGGGGGAAGAGGAAGGACGGUACCCCGAGAAUAAGUCACGGCUAACUACGUGCCAGCAGCCGCGGUAAUACGUAGGUGACAAGCGUUAUCCGGAAUUACUGGGCGUAAAGCGCACGCAGGCGGCGCCUUAAGUCUGACGUGAAAUCUCCCGGCUUAACCGGGAGGGGUCGUUGGAGACUGAGGAGCUUGAGGCGAUGAGAGGGGUGUAGAAUUCCCGGUGUAGUGGUGGAAUGCGUAGAUAUCGGGAGGAAUACCAGUGGCGAAAGCGACACCCUGGCGUUAGCCUGACGCUCAUGUGCGAAAGCGUGGGGAGCAAACGGGAUUAGAUACCCCUGUAGUC
RNAcentral lists this ribosomal RNA (441 nucleotides) under uncultured bacterium. RNAcentral's name for it is "bacterial SSU rRNA". It matches the Rfam family "Bacterial small subunit ribosomal RNA", at positions 338 to 795 of the family's 1533-position model. The record is from RNAcentral.